CCUAGGCUUUUUCACUGAUUGGCCUGGCGCUCACUGUUUCAGAUAGGCGGUCUGGCUGGCAAGUCCCCCCAAGAUCCACUGUCCCUGCCCCCAACAUGGCUACAGAUGAAGAUGUGAUCUCUCGGUUUCCUGCCCUGGCUGUCUGCUGCCGACGCCCCCCACCAUAUGGACUCUGCAACUCCCAGAACCGGCAGAGCCAAGCAACGGAGUACUGAACUCUCUGAGAGUGUGAGACAAGGCAAGU
Mesocricetus auratus (golden hamster) is the source of this 244-nucleotide long non-coding RNA. RefSeq lists it as uncharacterized. NCBI's taxonomy places the organism in Eukaryota, Metazoa, Chordata, Mammalia, Rodentia, Cricetidae. The record is from RefSeq and is a predicted model, not a curated record. The transcript is spliced from 3 exons.